Molecule: long non-coding RNA, 641 nt
Organism: Lycium barbarum (goji berry)
Lineage: Eukaryota; Viridiplantae; Streptophyta; Magnoliopsida; Solanales; Solanaceae
Exons: 3
Source: RefSeq, a predicted model, not a curated record
AAAUUUUGGCGUGAAAAUUUUCAAAUUCCCUCCCCCUAAUACCACCAUCUUUCUCAAACCAUUAGGUAUACCUCCAAAAUCCAUCUUUCCCACCAUUAGGUUUUUCUCAAUGACCGAAUAUACUCAGUAGGUUUCAGAACUGACUGCUAAUAAUCUUUGCUGAAAGCCCUAGAGUAUAGUGCUUAACCAAGGCCAACAUAGUGAUCUGAAGCUUAUUGGAGGAGGUACAUUUGGUGACAUCUGUAUAGGUAUCUUCCACUGGAUUUUGCAAAGUCCAAUGGAUUGAUGAAUAGAAAUUGUGAGAUGAUUCUGAAGGACGAAGCAUAGAGAUGGUGGUCAGUGUGGCUUGGGAGAUAUUCACAUCAUUUUGAAAUUAUAAGUGGAUGGACAAAAUAUAGAAGCAAAUGGACUCCAAAUAGGAGAUGCUUACAAGUUUGAACUCAUCAAGAAUGGGGAAAUUCCUAUAGCACACUUCCACUGCAAUUACUCUGCAAAGAGAGAAAUAGUGAAGCAACUUGACUUUUCAUUUUUUUUUUAAUUUGGUUGAUCCAAUAUAUGGUGUACAACCUUAAAAACAAUGUAUGAUUCUGGUAAGUUGGUUCGAUUUAUUGGGUGCUGAUAAAUAUUAGUAAUAUAUGAUG